UAGCUGUAACUUUAUUUUAAGGGGGCUCUCUACAACGUCACAACAUGGCGUACUUCCGUAAAAACGCCAUUUUGAUCCCAAAUGAUCAGAUUCAAAUUCACUUAACACCGAUAAAUCACUGAGUAUAACACAACAUGCGAUAUUGUGGAUGGAAUGUACAUUAUAUCACAUCAAUUAAUACAGUGUAUUGCCCAAUACGUAUCCUUUCUUUAAAAAUGAAUUGUUUGUCAAUUUAUUCAAUUUCUACUUAUUUAGUUAUUAAAUAAUACAUUUACAAAUUUAUUAGAAUAAGAUUUUUAGAUGAGAAAAAAAUGAUAUAAAACAUGGCUUGUCCAUAUGCUAAUUCAUCAUUACGUGUCAAAACGCCAUACACUCAGAAAUUUAUUUCUCCAAUAAGCAUAUAUGCUUUUCAGCAAAAUAUAUCCCCCCUAAAAUGCAAAUUUGAUAAGAUAAGACAUGUAUUAUCUUCCCAUCGACUAGAGGAUACUCUGUUCUCGAUUUGUAUACACCCGAAGGAAUGGUUAUACCCGGUGAAAUUUCGCAUGACCCAAACGUUUGAUCACCAUUGAUUGUCAGCUGUUUACAAGUAUGGGAAACGUGCAGGUUUUAAACGAAGUGUGCAUUUGGUUAUAGGAAUUUCUUUUACCGCUUUUGGCCAUUUACCAUCUUAACUUGUUUUGUUAUAUAUAGCACUGAAUAACACAUGCAAGUUGGAUAAAAACGAUAUUGAAGAGGAUCCAACCAGCUAUUCUCAAGAAAAUGCUGUUUUAGUUUUUCUUUUGUCUAUUUUUGUAAAUUUAAAUAAAAAUUAUGUUGAUUUU
This is a long non-coding RNA of Saccostrea cuccullata (small rock oyster), 821 nucleotides long. RefSeq lists it as uncharacterized. The record is from RefSeq and is a predicted model, not a curated record. The transcript has 2 exons. NCBI's taxonomy places the organism in Eukaryota, Metazoa, Mollusca, Bivalvia, Ostreida, Ostreidae.